Molecule: long non-coding RNA, 682 nt
Filed under: Equus caballus (horse)
Lineage: Eukaryota; Metazoa; Chordata; Mammalia; Perissodactyla; Equidae
Description: lncRNA (ENSECAG00000054666.1)
Source: RNAcentral
GCUGAACUGUGAACCUUUUAAGAAAAAGCAAAUAAAACAGACAAUUUUAUUCGCUACAAUUCCAGUAGGACUAAUUCUUGGAGAAAAAGCAGUCUGAGAAGACUUUUCAGAGUCAGGGGCCUGGGGCAGGCAUGGUGAAUGAAAAUGGCCACUCCAGCCCCGAUUCAACAAUAGCCUUCAGUUCACAUAUCAACAAUUGUGAAGAAGAUUUCAGCAGUUGUCAUUGGUUGAUCUGCUUGGUCCUUACUCCAGUUGCAACUUGUGGCCUCCUUUAUUUGAUUACCUCCCCUAAAGAUAAACCGACAUUAAUGUUUCUCCCUUAGGAUAAUAUUAUUUGACUCUUAAAACAAUAUGUAAAGCUAGCCUUUAGUUUGUUACACAUCAUUGUCCCAUCAACCCUUUACGGGGAUGUCCUAAGGGAGGUGAAUUGAUCUUCCAAGCUAUGUGAUGUGCCUGAGACCAGAAUACCCAGAAAUUCCAGAAGGUCGUCACUCUAGCGGGAGACGGAGGUGGCCAACGAAAAAGAAGUCCAUGUCCCAGCAGGCUGAAGUGAAGUAGGAGAAAAUCUCUGGCCGUGGGUCCAUCAGUGACACUCGGCGUCUUUUCUUUCAGAAGAGGGGCUAGAGCAGACAGAACGCUUAGAGGUUGCAAUGGGCAAGAGAGAGGGAAGGAAAGCGACGAC